RNAcentral lists this ribosomal RNA (2891 nucleotides) under Pseudomonas aeruginosa. Its description in RNAcentral is "LSU rRNA". It matches the Rfam family "Bacterial large subunit ribosomal RNA". The record is from RNAcentral. Lineage: Bacteria; Pseudomonadati; Pseudomonadota; Gammaproteobacteria; Pseudomonadales; Pseudomonadaceae.
GGUCAAGUGAAGAAGCGCAUACGGUGGAUGCCUUGGCAGUCAGAGGCGAUGAAAGACGUGGUAGCCUGCGAAAAGCUUCGGGGAGUCGGCAAACAGACUUUGAUCCGGAGAUCUCUGAAUGGGGGAACCCACCUAGGAUAACCUAGGUAUCUUGUACUGAAUCCAUAGGUGCAAGAGGCGAACCAGGGGAACUGAAACAUCUAAGUACCCUGAGGAAAAGAAAUCAACCGAGAUUCCCUUAGUAGUGGCGAGCGAACGGGGAUUAGCCCUUAAGCUUCAUUGAUUUUAGCGGAACGCUCUGGAAAGUGCGGCCAUAGUGAGUGAUAGCCCCGUACGCGAAAGGAUCUUUGAAGUGAAAUCGAGUAGGACGGAGCACGAGAAACUUUGUCUGAACAUGGGGGGACCAUCCUCCAAGGCUAAAUACUACUGACUGACCGAUAGUGAACCAGUACCGUGAGGGAAAGGCGAAAAGAACCCCGGAGAGGGGAGUGAAAUAGAACCUGAAACCGUAUGCGUACAAGCAGUGGGAGCCUACUUGUUAGGUGACUGCGUACCUUUUGUAUAAUGGGUCAGCGACUUAUAUUCAGUGGCAAGCUUAACCGUAUAGGGUAGGCGUAGCGAAAGCGAGUCUUAAUAGGGCGUUUAGUCGCUGGGUAUAGACCCGAAACCGGGCGAUCUAUCCAUGAGCAGGUUGAAGGUUAGGUAACACUGACUGGAGGACCGAACCCACUCCCGUUGAAAAGGUAGGGGAUGACUUGUGGAUCGGAGUGAAAGGCUAAUCAAGCUCGGAGAUAGCUGGUUCUCCUCGAAAGCUAUUUAGGUAGCGCCUCAUGUAUCACUCUGGGGGGUAGAGCACUGUUUCGGCUAGGGGGUCAUCCCGACUUACCAAACCGAUGCAAACUCCGAAUACCCAGAAGUGCCGAGCAUGGGAGACACACGGCGGGUGCUAACGUCCGUCGUGAAAAGGGAAACAACCCAGACCGCCAGCUAAGGUCCCAAAGUUGUGGUUAAGUGGUAAACGAUGUGGGAAGGCUUAGACAGCUAGGAGGUUGGCUUAGAAGCAGCCACCCUUUAAAGAAAGCGUAAUAGCUCACUAGUCGAGUCGGCCUGCGCGGAAGAUGUAACGGGGCUCAAACCACACACCGAAGCUGCGGGUGUCACGUAAGUGACGCGGUAGAGGAGCGUUCUGUAAGCCUGUGAAGGUGAGUUGAGAAGCUUGCUGGAGGUAUCAGAAGUGCGAAUGCUGACAUGAGUAACGACAAUGGGUGUGAAAAACACCCACGCCGAAAGACCAAGGGUUCCUGCGCAACGUUAAUCGACGCAGGGUUAGUCGGUUCCUAAGGCGAGGCUGAAAAGCGUAGUCGAUGGGAAACAGGUUAAUAUUCCUGUACUUCUGGUUACUGCGAUGGAGGGACGGAGAAGGCUAGGCCAGCUUGGCGUUGGUUGUCCAAGUUUAAGGUGGUAGGCUGAAAUCUUAGGUAAAUCCGGGGUUUCAAGGCCGAGAGCUGAUGACGAGUCGUCUUUUAGAUGACGAAGUGGUUGAUGCCAUGCUUCCAAGAAAAGCUUCUAAGCUUCAGGUAACCAGGAACCGUACCCCAAACCGACACAGGUGGUCGGGUAGAGAAUACCAAGGCGCUUGAGAGAACUCGGGUGAAGGAACUAGGCAAAAUGGCACCGUAACUUCGGGAGAAGGUGCGCCGGCUAGGGUGAAGGAUUUACUCCGUAAGCUCUGGCUGGUCGAAGAUACCAGGCCGCUGCGACUGUUUAUUAAAAACACAGCACUCUGCAAACACGAAAGUGGACGUAUAGGGUGUGACGCCUGCCCGGUGCCGGAAGGUUAAUUGAUGGGGUUAGCGCAAGCGAAGCUCUUGAUCGAAGCCCCGGUAAACGGCGGCCGUAACUAUAACGGUCCUAAGGUAGCGAAAUUCCUUGUCGGGUAAGUUCCGACCUGCACGAAUGGCGUAACGAUGGCGGCGCUGUCUCCACCCGAGACUCAGUGAAAUUGAAAUCGCUGUGAAGAUGCAGUGUAUCCGCGGCUAGACGGAAAGACCCCGUGAACCUUUACUGUAGCUUUGCACUGGACUUUGAGCCUGCUUGUGUAGGAUAGGUGGGAGGCUUUGAAGCGUGGACGCCAGUUCGCGUGGAGCCAUCCUUGAAAUACCACCCUGGCAUGCUUGAGGUUCUAACUCUGGUCCGUAAUCCGGAUCGAGGACAGUGUAUGGUGGGCAGUUUGACUGGGGCGGUCUCCUCCUAAAGAGUAACGGAGGAGUACGAAGGUGCGCUCAGACCGGUCGGAAAUCGGUCGCAGAGUAUAAAGGCAAAAGCGCGCUUGACUGCGAGACAGACACGUCGAGCAGGUACGAAAGUAGGUCUUAGUGAUCCGGUGGUUCUGUAUGGAAGGGCCAUCGCUCAACGGAUAAAAGGUACUCCGGGGAUAACAGGCUGAUACCGCCCAAGAGUUCAUAUCGACGGCGGUGUUUGGCACCUCGAUGUCGGCUCAUCACAUCCUGGGGCUGAAGCCGGUCCCAAGGGUAUGGCUGUUCGCCAUUUAAAGUGGUACGCGAGCUGGGUUUAGAACGUCGUGAGACAGUUCGGUCCCUAUCUGCCGUGGACGUUUGAGAUUUGAGAGGGGCUGCUCCUAGUACGAGAGGACCGGAGUGGACGAACCUCUGGUGUUCCGGUUGUCACGCCAGUGGCAUUGCCGGGUAGCUAUGUUCGGAAAAGAUAACCGCUGAAAGCAUCUAAGCGGGAAACUUGCCUCAAGAUGAGAUCUCACUGGGAACUUGAUUCCCCUGAAGGGCCGUCGAAGACUACGACGUUGAUAGGCUGGGUGUGUAAGCGUUGUGAGGCGUUGAGCUAACCAGUACUAAUUGCCCGUGAGGCUUGACCAU